Mauremys mutica (yellowpond turtle) is the source of this 528-nucleotide long non-coding RNA. RefSeq lists it as uncharacterized. The transcript is spliced from 4 exons. The record is from RefSeq and is a predicted model, not a curated record. Lineage: Eukaryota; Metazoa; Chordata; Testudines; Geoemydidae.
AGAACAUGCUACAUAUGUUAUUGUUUCUCCAGAGUCUCCCCUCAACCCCUUUUCUCAUGGAGCUGAGCGCCUGAUCUGUGGAGUUAGAGGGGAAGAUAAUGACAUAGUCAUUUUUUCCAGUGGCUCCCUUUCUGAUCAAAUUAGGUCCCAUCAGCACUAUGCAGAGAAGACCACGUAUGCCUCAUAGGGCUUAAGCCUCCAUCUUUUGAAUCUUCUGUACCAUCUUGGUAUAAUCCAAUAUCUCAGACCUCAAUCAACAGUUCUUAACCCAGUUCUACAUGGUCUUAUUGAAACUUACAGCUUCUAGAUGAUUGGAUGUUACUGCAACACACAGACUCCCCAUAAAUGCACUGUCUGAAGUUUGUUCCUCUAAAACCAGUGGUGAACACCAGCAAAGUGACUUGGAAGUGCAUUAGAAAUAAAGGUAAUCCAUAGCAAUGAUGUCAGGAGGUGAAGUCUGCCCCCCACCGUCCACCAAUGGUAAUCAACAAAGCUUCCACAGUUUCUGAUAGCUGAGCUCUGUUUUCA